CCUACGGGAUGCAGCAGUGAGGAAUAUUGGUCAAUGGGCGUAAGCCUGAACCAGCCAAGUCGCGUGAGGGAAUAAGGCCCUACGGGUUGUAAACCUCUUUUGUCGGGGAGCAAAGGCAGGGACGUGUAGCGGCACGGAGAGUACCUGAAGAAAACGCAUCGGCUAACUCCGUGCCAGCAGCCGCGGUAAUCCGGAGUAUGCGAGCGUUAUCCGGAUUUAUUGGGUUUAAAGGGUGCGUAGGCGGGAUUCUAAGUCAGCGGUAAAAUCUCGGGGCUCAACCCCGUUCGGCCGUUGAAACUGGUGUUCUUGAGUGAGCGAGAAGUAGGCGGAAUUCGUGGUGUAGCGGUGAAAUGCAUAGAUAUCACGCAGAACACCGAUGGCGAAGGCAGCAUACUGGCGCCCAACUGACGCUGAGGCACGAAAGUGUGGGGAUCGAACAGGAUUAGAUACCCGAGUAGUC
This 460-nucleotide ribosomal RNA is filed under the name uncultured bacterium. RNAcentral's name for it is "partial 16S ribosomal RNA". It matches the Rfam family "Bacterial small subunit ribosomal RNA", at positions 338 to 795 of the family's 1533-position model. The record is from RNAcentral.